Pan troglodytes (chimpanzee) is the source of this 4404-nucleotide RNA transcript. It is a transcript of the gene named neurobeachin, with no coding region annotated. NCBI's taxonomy places the organism in Eukaryota, Metazoa, Chordata, Mammalia, Primates, Hominidae. The record is from RefSeq and is a predicted model, not a curated record. The transcript is spliced from 9 exons.
AGCGUGCGUGUCCCUACGGAGCUGAGACUGCACUUCCUGCGACGCCCCUGCAGCAGCAGCAGCGUGGUCAGAGCGAGCUUCUGAGAAGCGGUGGUGGGUUCCAUGUGAUGGUGGAGUAGGAGACGGGUCUCCGCGGUUCAUCUGCGUUGCUCUAAAUGGGACUGUUUCAUUAUUUUGAUGGCUGAAGAAUAUUUCCUAGUGUAUGUAUAUGAGAGUUUCUUGAUCUCUUUAUCUGUGGAUGAACAGCUACUUUGAAAUAUAUGAUACAUUUGUGUUAAGGCUAGUCACCCUGCUGUGGAAUAGAAGGCCAGAAUUGAUCACUAUCAUCUGAGAGUAACUUUGUACCCAUCACUGAUUCCUUCUGAGACUGCCUCCACUUCCCCAGCAGCCUCUGAUUUCUUCAUGUGGCUGCAGAUGGCAGGAUUUCCCAAAGGUUUAUGGCUGCAACAUAUUCCGUGGUGUAUCUGUACAGCAGUUUCCUCAUUCCUGCAGCUGUGUUUGAACAGGUCAUUUACCAUGCGGUCCUCCAGGUUCAACAGUAUGGCUCCAAAUGAUGAAAUUUCAUUCUGAUUUUCUGGCUGAAGACUAUUCUGUUUGUGUAUGUCCACCACAGUUACUUUAUCCCUUCAUCUGUGGAUGGGCAGUUGGUUGGCAGAGAAUUUGAACUGGAGAUGAACUUUAUUAUCCAGGAUGCUGAGAGUAUAACAUGCAUGACAGAGCUUUUAGAGCACUGUGAUGUAACAUGUCAAGCAGAAAUAGGGAGCAUGUUUACAGCCAUUCUAUGAAAAAGUGUUCGGAAUGUACAGACUAGCACAGAAGCUGGACUAAUUGAACAAGUAUUGCUGAAAAUGAGUGCUGUAGAUGACAUGAUAGCAGAGUACCUUCAAGUUUAAAUCUGAGAGUGAUAUUAAUUUGGCAGAACAUCAUAAACGGGUUUUGUAUGAUGGGAAACUUGCAAGUAGCAUUACCUUUACAUACACUGCUAAGGCUACUGAUGCUCAACUCUGCCUGGAAUCAUCGCCAAAAGAGAAUGCAUCAAUUUUUGUGCAUUCCCAACAUGCUCUAAUGCUUCAGAUUCAAGUGCUUUUUCCACUGUUUCCCCAAUUGGAUAAUCGGCAGCUCAAUGACAGUCAAGUGGAAACAACUGUCUGAUAUCCUGAUGCUAAUCAGAGCCACACAAGAAUGCAAACAUAUGCUUCACUGCCUACCUUCAGUCUCACGGGAGUUCUCUGGAUUUCUUGUAUCAGCUCGUGGACCUCUCUAGGAAGAUUGAGGACACUUUCCUGAAUUAUAUCCUCAAAAAUGUUUUCCAAGUUGCUUACAUUCUCUUCUUCUCUGUUAGAAAUGCCAAUAAGUCAGCCAGGCACAGUGGCUCAUGCCAGUAAUCCCAGCACUUUGGGAGGCCAAGGUGGGAGUAUCACUCGAGGCCAGAAGUUUGAGACCUACCUGGCCAGCAUGGCGAAACCCCAUCUCUACUAAAAAUACAAAAAUUAGCCAGACAUGGUGGCACAUGCCUGUAAUCUCAGAUACUUGGGAGGUUGAGGCACGAGAAUUGCUUGAACCCAGGAGGUGGAGGUUUCAGUGAGCCAAGAUCAUGCCACUGCACUACAGACUGGGUAACAGAGUGAAAUUCUGUCUCAAAAAAAAAAUGCCAAUAAGUCAUAGAUUUUGUUCCUUUACAUAAUCCUAUAUUUCUCAAAAGUUUGGUUCAUUAUUUUUAAAUUCCUUUUUUUAUUUUUGUCUGACUGGGUUGAUUCGAAGGUCUGGUCUUUGAGCUCUUAAAUUAUUUUUUCUAUUUGGUCUAGUCUGUUGCUAAGGCUGCCAACUGUUUUUUUAAAUUCCUAUAGUAAAUUUUUCAAUUCAAGAAGCUCUGCUUGGUUCUUUCUCAAUAUAGCUAUGUUGUCAUUCAAAUCCAGGAUCGUUGUUAUGGGGUUGUUGGAUUCAACUUUCUGUUGGAUUUUGGUGAAUUUUUUUGCCACUUAUAUCUUGAAUACUAUACCUGUCAUUUCAGACAUUUCAUUCUGGUUAGGACUCAUUGCUAGGUUGCUGGUGUAAUCCUUUGGAGGUGAUGGAACAUUCUGGCUUUUUGUAUCGCCAGAAUUCUUGUGCUGGUUUCUUCUCAUCUGAGAGACUUGAUGCUUCUUUUGUUGAAUUUGAUAUCAUUUGGAAGGAGGUUUUUUUUUUUAAUUUUUCAUUCUUUCUUUCUCUUAAGGGUGUGACUGUGGUGUAUGUUGUAUAGGAUCAAUUUGCUUCAUUUCUGGGUACUUUCAGAGGACCAAGGCUCUGUACAAGUUCCUUGGUUGCAGAUAGGCUCCUGUGGUGGCUUGAUGUGGUGAUGUAUUUUUGUUUGGUGGUGUAAUUCAGGCUUUAGUGCAGUAGAAAGUGCUUAAGAGUAACAGCUGGCUGCAGGGUCUUCUCCUCUGUGUACUUGUCCUCAACAGGUGCAGAAGUGACAAAGUGCCAAAAGUGCCCUGUCCCCAUGUGUACUAGUCUUCAGCAGGGGCAGAGUCCUGGAGAAACCUAAGAAGCAGCCUCUUUCAGCUCACGUUCCUUGGGCCCCAACAGGGUGACCACUACUGGGUCUGCAGCAGUGCACUAGGAAGGGGACAGAGGGCAAGAGAUGACCACCUCUCUAAAUCUGUUCCCAGGCUUUGGUGUGCCCCUUUCAGCAGCUGAUGUCAUGAUCGUGUUUCCUUUGACCCAAGGGGUGGGUUUGGCAAGCUGUAUUCCUCCUUCCCUUAGGGCUGGUCCUCACCAAAGUUUAGGUCUCCUGGGGAAUGGGGUUCACCUCCCCCCUGUUUUGUGGAGCUGAUGGGGUACUCUCUCAACUGACCAAGGGAGCAGGCUGGGACACCCAGCAAUGACACACACAGACCAGUUCCAGGUUGCAAAGCUGUUCUUGGCUGCAAGUCUCACCAUCCUUGAGAAACCUCUGCUUUAGCAACUCUCUUCCCACUACAGUCCUGCAAGAGGAGAGAGCCUAAUUCCAACACCUACUGCUGGGGCACUUUCCACACUCAACACUCAAUUCUGGCUGUGGAGGCUGCUCCCCUGCUCCAGAGCAAGCACUUCAAUUCCUAGCCCAAGAUUAAAGUGUCUGCAGUGGCCACCAUUGCCAGGCACCAAAGAAUGAUUGACUUUGUAUGAGCCCAGAUUUAAAAUGGCAUCCUUCGCUCAGUCCCAGGUCUGGGGAAAUGCCUGCAGCUUUUCUGAGUGUCUUUCCUCUUUCCCCAUCUCUCAGCCACUUUUGUGCUAGCUCUAAGCACAUAAGUGCUUUCUUGGGAGAAAACAGUGCUCUCCCUUAAUCUGGGUUGCGCAGAUCCCCAGUGGAAAGGUGAGUCGCAGAGGGAGACUGGAUGCUCUUCUCUCGUACUGGAGUUUCAUUCCCUUUUAUGAACCAAAUGCUAUCACAGAGGCUGCUUUCCCACCUCCCCCUCCACAGGGUCUGGAGUGUUCUUCUCUAUUCCUGUGAAUUCCUAUUUUUCUUCUUGAAUUGAAGCUCACAAAGUUUAUCUUUAUGCUUAUUUUUCUACUUCCAAGUGGCUGAGGCACACUGAAAGCCCCUAAUCCAUCAUUCUAGGAAAAAAAGGAUGGUUUAAAUAAAGGAAUGUUCAUAUAAAAUAUAUAUUAAUUAACCCAAACAUAUUUUGUUUGACAUGAGUUAGGUGAAUCUUUGAUACAUUAAUUAAUUUUAAAAUUGUUAAAUAAAAUUAGAAAUAUCUUCGAAUUUGCCAAGGUAUGUUUCUCUCCUGGGAUUACUGGUCAGUUUUAUUUUUUCCUCGGAUAGAUGUUUUAAGCCAUAAAUCUUGACAUAGACCUGAUGUAGACCUCCAUACCUUUCCCAGAUGUGGGACGGAGCAACUGGGACAGGUCCAUCCUAGCACUAAGGGAUGAUUAAGCCUAACUUGUAGUCGUUGUACAACCAUAGACAUGGUUGAUGCUUCAAGAGAAAGAUCUUGAUGGAAAGGGGUAAAUGUAAAAAUUGAUCAUAUGAAUUGGGUCAUUCUUGUCACACCAAAUAAAACCAUCAAGAAGCCAGGGGGAGGAGGCAUUCAGGGCAAAAACACCACUCCAAAGGCGUAAUUCUCUGCAUGCCUGGCUGCUGAAAUUACCUGCUUUAAGCUGAAACCAGUUUUAUCGAAUGGUCACUGAAACAACCUCUUGCAACACUAAGACUAGUUUUACCCACCACUGUCCCUCACCUAUCAGAGCCUGCCAGCUCUCAAAAACCUUACUGGUGCCAGUGAGCUUUCUCAAAGAGAAAUACAUACCGUUUUACUCUCUGUCUCCCUUUUUAUAAAACCUCUAACUUUCUCUUUAUGUUUUGGACAUACUAAAGACACCCAUUCUUCAUGUAUGUGUCAAAUUGUAAUACUUGAAUAUCAAAUAAAACAUUUUAAUUUC